UAAUACGUAGGGUGCGAGCGUUGUCCGGAAUUACUGGGCGUAAAGAGCUCGUAGGUGGUUUGUUGCGUCGUCUGUGAAAUUCCGGGGCUUAACUUCGGGGUGGCAGGCGAUACGGGCAUAACUAGAGUGCUGUAGGGGAGACUGGAAUUCCUGGUGUAGCGGUGGAAUGCGCAGAUAUCAGGAGGAACACCGAUGGCGAAGGCAGGUCUCUGGGCAGUAACUGACGCUGAGGAGCGAAAGCAUGGGGAGCGAACAGGAUUAGAUACCCUGGUAGUCCAUGCUGUAAACGGUGGGCGUUAGGUGUGGGGACCGGUUUGGUUUCUGUGCCGUAGCUAACGCAUUAAGCGCCCCGCCUGGGGAGUACGGCCGCAAGGCUAAAACUCAAAGGAAUUGACGGGGGCCCGCACAAG
RNAcentral lists this ribosomal RNA (410 nucleotides) under uncultured bacterium. Its description in RNAcentral is "bacterial SSU rRNA". It matches the Rfam family "Bacterial small subunit ribosomal RNA", at positions 521 to 929 of the family's 1533-position model. The record is from RNAcentral.